CAUAUCACUAAGCGGAGAAAAAGAAAAUAACAAUGAUUCCUAAAGUAACGGCGAGUGAAAUAGGAAAAGCCCAUAGCCGAAUUCUGUCGUCGCUACUGGCGAUUGGAAGUUGUGGCGUUGGGAACUGUCAACAAUAACUGGUGUAUCUGGUUACGCGACUCCUCUUGAUUGUGGUUUGUCCGUAGCAGGUGCAAGGCCUAUUGACGUAGUCACAGAUUACCAGUGAAGGCAGUCCUUAGAGUCGGGUUGUUUGGGAUUGCAGCCCGAAGCAGGUGGUAAACUCCACCCAAGGCUAAAUACGAUGGCGAGUCCGAUAGCAAACAAGUACCAUGAGGGACAGUUGAAAAGAACUUUGAAGAGAGAGUUCAAAGUACGUGAAACCGUUCAGAGGUAAACAGGUGGAAAGUCGAAUGUGAAAUUGAUAAUCAGGUCAAGGUAAACUGAUGCUUGCUUGUAAUACUUUAUAGAUUGCUAGCUCGCAGAAGGCUAACUCUGGCCGUACUUGUCAUUUCAGGUCGCUGCUGUAAUGGUGUACUACCGGCUGGGCUUGCUCCUAUAGCUUGCGCUAAACCGUUUGGUUGAUGCGUUUGCUCAUGAGUUUGUCACCCGUGUUUAGCCACCAUUAUUGAAUAGCCUAUGUGUUCUUGCUGAUUCGUUUGUACGUUGAAUGGGCAUGUUGAUUCGAAAUGAUUCAGAUGUCUACUUUGGGGUGCAUCUUGUCAGUGUUUUGACAGAACAAAGGUUACGCGGCGUUGGAUUGCGAAUUAUCUGCCUGACCCGUCUUGAAACACGGACCAAGGAGUCCAACUUGUACGCGAGCUAUUGGAUGUACGAAAAUGAAAUCCAUAAGCGUAGUGAAAGCAUGAGGUGAGAUCUGGCGUUGUUUUCAUUGAAAAGGGCGCUAGCGCAUCAUCGUCACGCCGCAAUUCGGCCAAGGCUGAUGCGGCGAAGACAGAGCGUACAUGUUGGGACCCGAAAGAUGGUGAACUAUGCGAGGCGAGGUCGAAGCCAGAGGAAACUCUGGUGGAGGACUGUAGCGGUUCUAACGUGCAAAUUGAUCGUCGCAGCUUCGUAUAGGGGCGAAAGACUAAUCGAACCAUCUAGUAGCUGGUUCCCUCCGAAGUUUCCCUCAGGAUAGCUGGCACUUUCGGAGAGCAGUUUUGUCCGGUAAAGCGAAUGACUAGAGGCCUUGGGGACAUAACGACCUCAACCUAUUCUCAAACUUUGAAUGGGCAAGAAGAAGGGCUCGCUUGUUUGGAGUCUCUUCAUUGUGAAUGCUCGAGUGCCAAGUGGGCCAUUUUUGGUAAGCAGAACUGGCGCUGUGGGAUGAACCAAACGUUGAGCUAAGGCGCCAAAUGCUAACGCUCAUCCGAUCCCAUUAAAGGUGUUGGUUGAUAGAGACAGCAGGACGGUGGCCAUGGAAGUCGGAAUCCGCUAAGGAGUGUGUAACAACUCACCUGCCGAAUCAACCAGUCCUGAAAAUGGAUGGCGCUAAAGCGUUGAAAGCCUAUGCUCGACCGGCGUUGCAAAUUGUCACGUUCAUCGUCAAGCAAUGCCGAGUAGGAGGGUCACUGUGGUGUGCAUUGAAGCUUUGGGCGAGAGCCCGAGUCGAGCCGCCAUAGGUGCAGAUCUUGGUGGUAGUAGCAAAUAUUCAAACGAGAACUUUGAAGGCCGAAGUGGAGAAGGGUUCCAUGUGAACAGCACUUGAACAUGGGUCAGUCGGUCCUAAGCGAUAGGCAAAUGCCGUUCUGAAAGCAGGCCGUGUUUCAUAUAGUUUAUUGUAUAUGAUAAAAUACAGCGCCUGAUUUAGGUCGAAAGGGAAUCGGGUUAAUAUUCCCGAACCUGGACGCGGAGAUUGAGUGCACUCUGUGUGCUCUGUGCGGCAACGCAAACGAUCUCGGAUUCGUCGGCGGAAGUCCUGGGAAGAGUUCUCUCUUCUUUGUAAGGGGCAAAUUCCCUGGAAUCGGCUUAGCCGGAGAUAGGGAUAUUGCAUUCACCCGUAAAGCACCACACUUCUUGUGGUGUNUCCGGUGCACAACUGUCGGCACUUGAAACUCCGAGUUAGACUUGAUACAUUUUCGCGCCAGGCCGUACCCAUAUCCGCAGCAGGUCUCCAAGGUGAACAGCCUCUGGUCUUAGACUGAUGUAGUCAAGGGAAGUCGGCAAAUUGGAUCCGUAACUUUGGGAAAAGGAUUGGCUCUAUGGGUUGGGUCGUGACGGGCUGUGCUAGAAAGCGAUGCCUGCUACUAAUGCUUCGGGUGCGAUUGGUAACGAUCGUGCCUAGCGUUGGUUGGCGGCGCGUGGCCUGGCAUGGCUUCACCGAUAGCUCCUCGGAGUUGUCGGCAUCGUCCGACGAAAAGCAACCAUCAUAGAAC
Molecule: ribosomal RNA, 2375 nt
Filed under: Aspidiophorus polystictos
Lineage: Eukaryota; Metazoa; Gastrotricha; Chaetonotida; Chaetonotidae
Description: eukaryotic LSU rRNA
Rfam family: Eukaryotic large subunit ribosomal RNA
Source: RNAcentral